CCUACGGGUGGCAGCAGUGGGGGAUAUUGCACAAUGGGGGGAACCCUGAUGCAGCGACGCCGCGUGGGUGAAGAAGCGCCUCGGCGCGUAAAGCCCUGUCAGCAGGGAAGAAAAUGACGGUACCUGAAGAAGAAGCCCCGGCUAACUACGUGCCAGCAGCCGCGGUAAUACGUAGGGGGCAAGCGUUAUCCGGAUUUACUGGGUGUAAAGGGGGCGCAGACGGCGAUGCAAGCCAGGAGUGAAAUACCGGGGCUCAACCCCGGAGCUGCAUUGGAAACUGUGAGGCUGGAGUGUCGGAGAGGCAGGCGGAAUUCCUAGUGUAGCGGUGAAAUGCGUAGAUAUUAGGAGGAACACCAGUGGCGAAGGCGGCCUGCUGGACGAUGACUGACGCUGAGGCUCGAAAGCGUGGGGAGCAAACAGGAUUAGAUACCCCGGUAGUC
Molecule: ribosomal RNA, 440 nt
Filed under: uncultured bacterium
Lineage: Bacteria
Description: partial 16S ribosomal RNA
Rfam family: Bacterial small subunit ribosomal RNA
Source: RNAcentral